Molecule: ribosomal RNA, 1530 nt
Filed under: Ambystoma mexicanum (axolotl)
Lineage: Eukaryota; Metazoa; Chordata; Amphibia; Caudata; Ambystomatidae
Description: SSU rRNA
Rfam family: Eukaryotic small subunit ribosomal RNA
Source: RNAcentral
ACCGGGUUGAUCCUGACAGUAGCAUAUGGCUCACUGAUUUAGUGAUGGUUCCUUUGAUGGCUCUACCUGUCACUUGGAUGACUGUGGUAAAUCUGCUGCGGUUACAUGCCAACAAAUGCUGACCUCCAGAGAUGCGUGCAUUCAUCAGACCAAGACCAAUCCGGGCAUGCAUGGCCAGUUUGGUGACUCUAGCUAAGCUUGGUCAGAUCGCACGUCCCCCUGAUGGCAACAAUACAUUCUGUUGUCUGACCUAUCAACUUCCAAUGGUACUUCCUGUGCCCACCAUGGUGAUUAUAGAUAAUGGGGAAUCCCAGAGAGGAAGCCUGAGAAAUGGCUACUAUCUAAGGAAGGCAGCAGGCGUGCAAAUUACAUAUUUAUGACGCAGGGAGUUAGUGACAGAAUUUAAUAACACAGGACUCUUUCGAGGUCCUGUAAAUUGAAUGUGUACAGUUUAAAUCCUUUAAAGAUGAUUCAUUGGAGUUGCUGCUCCUGAAAAGCUUGUAGUUCGAUCUUGUGAUGGAGCUGGCAGUCUGGUGUGAGACGCUCUAACGUCUGUCCCAGCCCCUGUAUCUCGGCACCCCUUUGAUGCUCUUGACUUAAUGACCUGGGCGUCUGAAGUGAUUACUUUGAAAACAUGACAUUGUUCAAAGCAGUCAGGUCACCUGAAUCCUUUAGCUAGGGGCAUGAUUAAAAGGGAUGGACGGGGGCAUUUGUAUUGUGAUAUUCUUGGACCGUCGUACUUAUGACUUAUGACUAUAAAGAAUGGCAACGAGUGAUCUGCAGUGUUAUUCCCAUGACCUGCCGGGCAGCUUUCGGGAAAAAAAAGUCUUUGCAUUCCAGGCCGGGUGGGUUGCAAAGCUGGAACUUUAAGGAAAUGACAGAAGGGCACCACCAUGAGUGGAGACUAUGGAUUACUUUGACUCAACAUGGGAAACCUUACCCAGCCCAGUCACGGAAAGGAUUGACAGAUUGAAAGCUCUUUAUCAAUUCUGUGUAUGGUGCUGCAUGGUGAUUCUUAGUUGGAGGAGCAACUUGUCUGGUUAAAUCUGAUAACCAUCAUGACUCCUUCAUGCACAAAAGUUUCACAAACCCCAGCGGUCAGCAUUCAACUUCUUAGAGGGACAAGUAGUGUUCAGCCACACAAGAUCAAGCAAUUACAAGUCUGUGAUGCCCUUUUAUAUCCAGGGGUGCACGUGAUCUCCACUUAAUGGAUCAGUGUGUUUAUAACCCUCCCCAACAGGUGAGGGUAUCCUGCGGAACAAAGUUUAUGAUAGGGAUUGGGAACUGCAAUUAUUUCCCAUGAACGAGGAAUUCCUAGUAAGUGAUGAUCAUAUACUCAAGCUGAUUAAGUGAGCACAGUUUGUACACACUGCACAUCACUACUGUCAAAUAGAUGUUUAAGUGAGGUCCUCGGAUCAGCCUCACCGGAGUUAGCAACAUCCCUGGCAGAGCAUCAAGAAGCCAAUCAAACUUGACUAUUUAGAGGAACUAAGAGUCACAACAAGGUUUCUGUAGGUGAUCCUUCAGAAG